RNAcentral lists this ribosomal RNA (2900 nucleotides) under Escherichia coli 3-373-03_S1_C3. RNAcentral's name for it is "bacterial LSU rRNA". It matches the Rfam family "Bacterial large subunit ribosomal RNA". Lineage: Bacteria; Pseudomonadati; Pseudomonadota; Gammaproteobacteria; Enterobacterales; Enterobacteriaceae. The record is from RNAcentral.
UUAAGCGACUAAGCGUACACGGUGGAUGCCCUGGCAGUCAGAGGCGAUGAAGGACGUGCUAAUCUGCGAUAAGCGUCGGUAAGGUGAUAUGAACCGUUAUAACCGGCGAUUUCCGAAUGGGGAAACCCAGUGUGUUUCGACACACUAUCAUUAACUGAAUCCAUAGGUUAAUGAGGCGAACCGGGGGAACUGAAACAUCUAAGUACCCCGAGGAAAAGAAAUCAACCGAGAUUCCCCCAGUAGCGGCGAGCGAACGGGGAGCAGCCCAGAGCCUGAAUCAGUGUGUGUGUUAGUGGAAGCGUCUGGAAAGGCGCGCGAUACAGGGUGACAGCCCCGUACACAAAAAUGCACAUGCUGUGAGCUCGAUGAGUAGGGCGGGACACGUGGUAUCCUGUCUGAAUAUGGGGGGACCAUCCUCCAAGGCUAAAUACUCCUGACUGACCGAUAGUGAACCAGUACCGUGAGGGAAAGGCGAAAAGAACCCCGGCGAGGGGAGUGAAAAAGAACCUGAAACCGUGUACGUACAAGCAGUGGGAGCACGCUUAGGCGUGUGACUGCGUACCUUUUGUAUAAUGGGUCAGCGACUUAUAUUCUGUAGCAAGGUUAACCGAAUAGGGGAGCCGAAGGGAAACCGAGUCUUAACUGGGCGUUAAGUUGCAGGGUAUAGACCCGAAACCCGGUGAUCUAGCCAUGGGCAGGUUGAAGGUUGGGUAACACUAACUGGAGGACCGAACCGACUAAUGUUGAAAAAUUAGCGGAUGACUUGUGGCUGGGGGUGAAAGGCCAAUCAAACCGGGAGAUAGCUGGUUCUCCCCGAAAGCUAUUUAGGUAGCGCCUCGUGAAUUCAUCUCCGGGGGUAGAGCACUGUUUCGGCAAGGGGGUCAUCCCGACUUACCAACCCGAUGCAAACUGCGAAUACCGGAGAAUGUUAUCACGGGAGACACACGGCGGGUGCUAACGUCCGUCGUGAAGAGGGAAACAACCCAGACCGCCAGCUAAGGUCCCAAAGUCAUGGUUAAGUGGGAAACGAUGUGGGAAGGCCCAGACAGCCAGGAUGUUGGCUUAGAAGCAGCCAUCAUUUAAAGAAAGCGUAAUAGCUCACUGGUCGAGUCGGCCUGCGCGGAAGAUGUAACGGGGCUAAACCAUGCACCGAAGCUGCGGCAGCGACGCUUAUGCGUUGUUGGGUAGGGGAGCGUUCUGUAAGCCUGUGAAGGUGUGCUGUGAGGCAUGCUGGAGGUAUCAGAAGUGCGAAUGCUGACAUAAGUAACGAUAAAGCGGGUGAAAAGCCCGCUCGCCGGAAGACCAAGGGUUCCUGUCCAACGUUAAUCGGGGCAGGGUGAGUCGACCCCUAAGGCGAGGCCGAAAGGCGUAGUCGAUGGGAAACAGGUUAAUAUUCCUGUACUUGGUGUUACUGCGAAGGGGGGACGGAGAAGGCUAUGUUGGCCGGGCGACGGUUGUCCCGGUUUAAGCGUGUAGGCUGGUUUUCCAGGCAAAUCCGGAAAAUCAAGGCUGAGGCGUGAUGACGAGGCACUACGGUGCUGAAGCAACAAAUGCCCUGCUUCCAGGAAAAGCCUCUAAGCAUCAGGUAACAUCAAAUCGUACCCCAAACCGACACAGGUGGUCAGGUAGAGAAUACCAAGGCGCUUGAGAGAACUCGGGUGAAGGAACUAGGCAAAAUGGUGCCGUAACUUCGGGAGAAGGCACGCUGAUAUGUAGGUGAAGUCCCUUGCGGAUGGAGCUGAAAUCAGUCGAAGAUACCAGCUGGCUGCAACUGUUUAUUAAAAACACAGCACUGUGCAAACACGAAAGUGGACGUAUACGGUGUGACGCCUGCCCGGUGCCGGAAGGUUAAUUGAUGGGGUUAGCGGUAACGCGAAGCUCUUGAUCGAAGCCCCGGUAAACGGCGGCCGUAACUAUAACGGUCCUAAGGUAGCGAAAUUCCUUGUCGGGUAAGUUCCGACCUGCACGAAUGGCGUAAUGAUGGCCAGGCUGUCUCCACCCGAGACUCAGUGAAAUUGAACUCGCUGUGAAGAUGCAGUGUACCCGCGGCAAGACGGAAAGACCCCGUGAACCUUUACUAUAGCUUGACACUGAACAUUGAGCCUUGAUGUGUAGGAUAGGUGGGAGGCUUUGAAGUGUGGACGCCAGUCUGCAUGGAGCCGACCUUGAAAUACCACCCUUUAAUGUUUGAUGUUCUAACGUUGACCCGUGAUCCGGGUUGCGGACAGUGUCUGGUGGGUAGUUUGACUGGGGCGGUCUCCUCCUAAAGAGUAACGGAGGAGCACGAAGGUUGGCUAAUCCUGGUCGGACAUCAGGAGGUUAGUGCAAUGGCAUAAGCCAGCUUGACUGCGAGCGUGACGGCGCGAGCAGGUGCGAAAGCAGGUCAUAGUGAUCCGGUGGUUCUGAAUGGAAGGGCCAUCGCUCAACGGAUAAAAGGUACUCCGGGGAUAACAGGCUGAUACCGCCCAAGAGUUCAUAUCGACGGCGGUGUUUGGCACCUCGAUGUCGGCUCAUCACAUCCUGGGGCUGAAGUAGGUCCCAAGGGUAUGGCUGUUCGCCAUUUAAAGUGGUACGCGAGCUGGGUUUAGAACGUCGUGAGACAGUUCGGUCCCUAUCUGCCGUGGGCGCUGGAGAAUUGAGGGGGGCUGCUCCUAGUACGAGAGGACCGGAGUGGACGCAUCACUGGUGUUCGGGUUGUCAUGCCAAUGGCACUGCCCGGUAGCUAAAUGCGGAAGAGAUAAGUGCUGAAAGCAUCUAAGCACGAAACUUGCCCCGAGAUGAGUUCUCCCUGACCUUAGGUCCUGAAGGAACGUUGAAGACGACGACGUUGAUAGGCCGGGUGUGUAAGCGCAGCGAUGCGUUGAGCUAACCGGUACUAAUGAACCGUGAGGCUUAACCUU